CCCAUGUCCUGCUAUUGGAGGAAUGCAAGCACAGCCAGGAGUGACUGGGUUGGAUUUCUGGUCUGCCCAGGGCCUUGGAAAUGUGCCCUCAAUGCUCUCUUGGGUGAGUUUCCUUGAUGCUGGGUGUCCUGGGUGGAAAGGUCUUUGAAGUGUUCUGUGCCUGAUCUGGAAUCCUGGAGCAGCUCAAAAAUGCUUCUCUGAAGUCCAUGCGACCAACAGUUCCG
Molecule: long non-coding RNA, 224 nt
Filed under: Chinchilla lanigera (long-tailed chinchilla)
Lineage: Eukaryota; Metazoa; Chordata; Mammalia; Rodentia; Chinchillidae
Description: lncRNA (ENSCLAG00000022953.1)
Source: RNAcentral